AAUUAAUUAGCUUAUUUAAAGCAUGUAUUUUGAAAAUACAAGAUAGAUUAUAAAAAAUUUAUUAAUUU
RNAcentral lists this transfer RNA (68 nucleotides) under Scirtothrips dorsalis. Its description in RNAcentral is "tRNA-Ser". The record is from RNAcentral. Lineage: Eukaryota; Metazoa; Arthropoda; Insecta; Thysanoptera; Thripidae.